This 492-nucleotide ribosomal RNA is filed under the name uncultured bacterium. RNAcentral describes it as "partial 16S ribosomal RNA". It matches the Rfam family "Bacterial small subunit ribosomal RNA", at positions 30 to 507 of the family's 1533-position model. The record is from RNAcentral.
AUUGAACGCUGGCGGUAGGCCUAACACAUGCAAGUCGAACGGCAGCACAGUCAGCGCUUGCUCUUACAGGUGGCGAGUGGCGGACGGGUGAGGAAUACAUCGGAAUCUACUUUUUCGUGGGGGGUAACGUAGGGAAACUUACGCUAAUACCGCAUACGACCUACGGGUGAAAUCAUGGGAUCUUCGGACCUUGCGCGAUUGAAUGAGCCGAUGUCGGAUUAGCUAGUUGGCGGGGUAAAGGCCCACCAAGGCGACGAUCCGUAGCUGGUCUGAGAGGAUGAUCAGCCACACUGGAACUGAGACACGGUCCAGACUCCUACGGGAGGCAGCAGUGGGGAAUAUUGGACAAUGGGCGCAAGCCUGAUCCAGCCAUACCGCGUGGGUGAAGAAGGCCUUCGGGUUGUAAAGCCCUUUUGUUGGGAAAGAAAAGCAGCAGGUUAAUACCCCGCUGUUCUGACGGUACCCAAAGAAUAAGCACCGGCUAACUUCGUG